RNAcentral lists this ribosomal RNA (497 nucleotides) under uncultured bacterium. RNAcentral describes it as "partial 16S ribosomal RNA". It matches the Rfam family "Bacterial small subunit ribosomal RNA", at positions 28 to 507 of the family's 1533-position model. The record is from RNAcentral.
GACGAACGCUGGCGGCGUGCCUAAUACAUGCAAGUUGAGCGAUGAAGAUUGGUGCUUGCACCAAUUUGAAGAGCAGCGAACGGGUGAGUAACGCGUGGGGAAUCUGCCUUUGAGCGGGGGACAACAUUUGGAAACGAAUGCUAAUACCGCAUAACAUCUUUAAACAUAAGUUUUAAGUUUGAAAGAUGCAAUUGCAUCACUCAAAGAUGAUCCCGCGUUGUAUUAGCUAGUUGGUGAGGUAAAGGCUCACCAAGGCGAUGAUACAUAGCCGACCUGAGAGGGUGAUCGGCCAAAUUGGGACUGAGACACGGCCCAAACUCCUAAGGGAGGCAGCAGUAGGGAAUCUUCGGCAAUGGACGAAAGUCUGGACGAGCAACGCCGCGUGAGUGAAGAAGGGUUUCGGAUCGUAAAAAUCUGUUGGUAGAGAAGAACGUUGGUGAGAGUGGAAAGCUCAUCAAGUGACGGUAACUACCCAGAAAGGGACGGCUAACUACGUG